This 96-nucleotide transfer RNA is filed under the name compost metagenome. RNAcentral describes it as "tRNA-His". The record is from RNAcentral.
GCGCUUGUUGGACGAGGAACAGACGGCCUUCGUCGUGGACGAGUGGACGGUGUGGAAGCGGCCGCCGUCCAUCCGUUCCAGGAGGACCAGGUGCCC